RNAcentral lists this unclassified non-coding RNA (375 nucleotides) under Priapulus caudatus. Its description in RNAcentral is "uncharacterized LOC106813239, transcript variant X1". The record is from RNAcentral. Lineage: Eukaryota; Metazoa; Priapulida; Priapulimorpha; Priapulimorphida; Priapulidae.
GAUGCGGCAUGGCAUACGGAAGGAGCGGACAGCGGACAGAGACCGACUGUAACGUGGCGUGCCAAGGUGACGGCAGCGUCAUGUGCGGAGCUUACGGUGUGAACUCGGUUUACAGAAUCAACGAAUAUGAUGCCUUCAGCGAAUUGCUAUUCCACGACAGCCGUGUGUCCGCAGGGGACGAGCUAACACGUGAUGUAACAGCAAGCCCGGCAGUAGGUGUCGCCUCGGUGUUACUGUGCGCAGUUCACUGCCUUGAGUCACCAUAUUGCUUUGGAGUCGUGUGAAUUCCAGCAAGCGUUAAAAACUGCGUGCUUAUCUCCGGUGAGGGCAACACGGGCGUUUACACGAUUCCCACAAGAGGAAAAAUACUAUCAG